Molecule: ribosomal RNA, 1128 nt
Filed under: Triticum aestivum (bread wheat)
Lineage: Eukaryota; Viridiplantae; Streptophyta; Magnoliopsida; Poales; Poaceae
Description: partial small subunit ribosomal RNA
Source: RNAcentral
AUGUUUUCCAUCGUCUUUGCUCCUGGCAUAUCGAGAAAAAUAUGCAAAGGCACCUGCAUUACAAGUCACUGGUUGAGUUCAGAUCGCUCCUAUACUAUGCCACCUCUCAAGCGAACUUUGAGCAGAGAUGGACCGCUUUCUAUAAUAAGUGGAAGAUGGAUAGAACUCAAGAGUGGCUUGACAGGAUGUACAGGAAGAAGAGACUUUGGGCAGCUUCAUAUCUUCCCAAUGGUUUUUUUCUUGGUAUGCGAAGUAACCAGAGAAGCGAAAAGCCUCAACUCCUGCCUUCACCUUCACCUGGACUACGAUAUGACAAUAGUUGAUUUGGUUGUGCAUUAUGAUAACUAUAUAGUUCGUCUGCGUGAGAAUGAGGCGUACGAUGACUGCGAGACACACCAGAAAGAACCACCGUCGGUUACUGAAUAUAAGGCACUUGAGGAGCAUGCCGCCAAAGUAUUCACACCUGCUAAUUUUUACAUCCUGCAAGAUGAUUUGCACAAGAUGGGUCAGCUGGAGAUAUUUGAGACGCUCGUGGGAAUUGAGCGUCAGACUUAUAUGGUGACAUGGAAGGAUAACCACAAGUUCAUGUACAAUGUUGUUUAUGUACCAGGUAACUCAGAAGAAACUAUAACAUGCAGUUGUCUUAAGAUGGUUCGGAAAGGCCUGCCAUGCAAACACAUUCUUUUUGUUCUCCAUCAUCUGAGCAUAACUGAAAUACCAAAGUGUUGUGUCCUUCAUCGGUUGUCAAAAAAUGCGAGAGAUGGAUUACAUGUGCAGCGGAAGAGUGAUAUGUUUGGAUGGGGUUGGUCAGGGCCAUUAGAAAGAGACCGGUAUAGUCAAAUAAGCAUAAAAACCGCAGAGGCAGCUCAUGUUGCAGCAAAUGAUCCCUUCUUGUUUGACGAGUUGAUGAAGUGUCUGGAAAACAUAAUAGCACAGAAAAAGAUACCCGAGGAGGAACUUAUAGGAAGUAGAAGGUAUGCUAAGCUUAUGAAGGAGGCAAGUCAAGCGCAACAAGUUGAACCUGGUAUUAGUGAUCCUCAGAAAGUUUUGACGAAGGAUGCACCUAAGAAGGGGCGGUCAAAGGGGGGCCCGAUGUUACAAAGAAUGGUAGGCCAAAAGAUUUUAUAG